RNAcentral lists this ribosomal RNA (800 nucleotides) under Bacillus tequilensis. RNAcentral's name for it is "bacterial SSU rRNA". It matches the Rfam family "Bacterial small subunit ribosomal RNA", at positions 35 to 817 of the family's 1533-position model. Lineage: Bacteria; Bacillati; Bacillota; Bacilli; Caryophanales; Bacillaceae. The record is from RNAcentral.
GAGGGGGGGGGGCCUAAUACAUGCAAGUCGAGCGGACAGAUGGGAGCUUGCUCCCUGAUGUUAGCGGCGGACGGGUGAGUAACACGUGGGUAACCUGCCUGUAAGACUGGGAUAACUCCGGGAAACCGGGGCUAAUACCGGAUGGUUGUUUGAACCGCAUGGUUCAAACAUAAAAGGUGGCUUCGGCUACCACUUACAGAUGGACCCGCGGCGCAUUAGCUAGUUGGUGAGGUAACGGCUCACCAAGGCAACGAUGCGUAGCCGACCUGAGAGGGUGAUCGGCCACACUGGGACUGAGACACGGCCCAGACUCCUACGGGAGGCAGCAGUAGGGAAUCUUCCGCAAUGGACGAAAGUCUGACGGAGCAACGCCGCGUGAGUGAUGAAGGUUUUCGGAUCGUAAAGCUCUGUUGUUAGGGAAGAACAAGUACCGUUCGAAUAGGGCGGUACCUUGACGGUACCUAACCAGAAAGCCACGGCUAACUACGUGCCAGCAGCCGCGGUAAUACGUAGGUGGCAAGCGUUGUCCGGAAUUAUUGGGCGUAAAGGGCUCGCAGGCGGUUUCUUAAGUCUGAUGUGAAAGCCCCCGGCUCAACCGGGGAGGGUCAUUGGAAACUGGGGAACUUGAGUGCAGAAGAGGAGAGUGGAAUUCCACGUGUAGCGGUGAAAUGCGUAGAGAUGUGGAGGAACACCAGUGGCGAAGGCGACUCUCUGGUCUGUAACUGACGCUGAGGAGCGAAAGCGUGGGGAGCGAACAGGAUUAGAUACCCUGGUAGUCCACGCCGUAAACGAUGAGUGCU